RNAcentral lists this transfer RNA (80 nucleotides) under Felis catus (domestic cat). It matches the Rfam family "tRNA". Rfam says of the family: Transfer RNA (tRNA) molecules are approximately 80 nucleotides in length. Their secondary structure includes four short double-helical elements and three loops (D, anti-codon, and T loops). Further hydrogen bonds mediate the characteristic L-shaped molecular structure. tRNAs have two regions of fundamental functional importance: the anti-codon, which is responsible for specific mRNA codon recognition, and the 3' end, to which the tRNAs corresponding amino acid is attached (by aminoacyl-tRNA synthetases). tRNAs cope with the degeneracy of the genetic code in two manners: having more than one tRNA (with a specific anti-codon) for a particular amino acid; and 'wobble' base-pairing, i.e. permitting non-standard base-pairing at the 3rd anti-codon position. Lineage: Eukaryota; Metazoa; Chordata; Mammalia; Carnivora; Felidae. The record is from Rfam by way of RNAcentral.
GCCUAGGUGGCUCAGUCGGUUGAGCGUCUGACUUUGACUCAGGUCAUGAUUUCGCGGUUUGUAAAUUCAAGCCCCGCGCA